CAGCCGCCACGGUAAAACGUAGGUGGCAAGCGUUGUCCGGAAUUAUUGGGCGUAAAGCGCGCGCAGGCGGAUCAGUUAGUCUGUCUUAAAAGUUCGGGGCUUAACCCCGUGAUGGGAUGGAAACUGCUGAUCUAGAGUACCGGAGAGGAAAGUGGAAUUCCUAGUGUAGCGGUGAAAUGCGUAGAUAUUAGGAAGAACACCAGUGGCGAAGGCGACUUUCUGGACGAAAACUGACGCUGAGGCGCGAAAGCCAGGGGAGCGAACGGGAUUAGAUACCCGCGUAGUCCUGUCUCUUAUACAC
This 301-nucleotide ribosomal RNA is filed under the name uncultured bacterium. RNAcentral's name for it is "partial 16S ribosomal RNA". It matches the Rfam family "Bacterial small subunit ribosomal RNA", at positions 509 to 810 of the family's 1533-position model. The record is from RNAcentral.